AUUUCGAACAGUUGCCAACACAACGUUUUUCCAGGGCCCAGCAUCACCUGGCAUUGAAGAGGGACCCUGAGGGAGGGAAUAAGAACACUGAGACUGGAGAGUACAUUGUCAGAGGUCUUAGUUACAACAAAGAGGAAUUCAACUCAAAAUUAAACAAACAAAAGAAGGAGGAGGGGGAAAAGAAAGAAAGAGAAAAAGCCAUGUACUGGAUCAGGGUUCCCAAGGAUGGUCUCAUUGGCUGGGUUGGGGUCACAUGCCCACGCCUGGAAUCUGCACCAAGACUGGGAGAAGGCAGGGCCUACAGAGAAGAGUCAGAAUGCUGAGACCAAAGAUGGGAAGGUGAUUCUGGGUGGAGCCUCUGUCUACUCCUUCCUGCUUCUAAGGACCAAGAACUCUGAGCCAAGAGCAGCUGAGGAAAAACCUAUGAAGUGUGCAGGGCUAGGAAUCCAAAGAAGACCAAAGUCCAGAAGACCAAAGUCCACACUCAAUGCCCACAUUUAGAAGCUGUAUGACUUUUGAUUUCUCUUGGAAAAUCUGAAAAGAAUAGAGAUCAGCGCCACUGGACUUGUAUUCACAUAGGACAUUGGCUGGAGCUGAGCAGCUGCGCCCUCUUUGGGUGAAAACAGGCAUUUUCCAGUUUCCACAGUCUGGCUGGCCGGCUCUUUGUUUUCCCAGCUGGUCUUUUAGAGGCAGCUUUUGACUUGGCUCCUGAUUCUAAAAUUUGCUCUGGGAUAUGCCGGAGCAGCAGAGACCUACAUACCAAGAACGUGGCAUUGCUUGCCCUUGAUUACGGAAUUACCUCUGCACAUGACAUUUUUCACCUCCUCUCCAGCAGAGUGGAACGCCCUGUUGUUUAAGACAAAGCUGUUGUUAAGGCCAUGGACCUCUAGUUACAUGGUUUCUUCUCUACAAAGGCACAUGAGAGAAAUCCUAUAAUCUCAAAACCAGGAUCACUGUCGUGGCGUUCCUCUUGAAGAUCAGCUGUGAAGGGGGUGCAGGAUUGUUUCUCUGAGCUCGGCCUGCAACUCAGGGCUCACCUCUCAGAAGCACUCCAUGAACUGCCGUGGGGCUACCCUUGUGAGCAGCUCCAUUUCACUUCUUAGACUUGUUUUACUAUUGCUAUUUCUGACUUCUUUUAAAUUUUAUCAUAGUAUAAGGCUUGUAUCUUUGAAAAGUCAGACUUCAAUCUUGAUUAGAAUAAAGCAAGGUUUAAAUAAAUGAAUUCCUGCCCCCAACAUACACC
Molecule: long non-coding RNA, 1243 nt
Organism: Camelus dromedarius (Arabian camel)
Lineage: Eukaryota; Metazoa; Chordata; Mammalia; Artiodactyla; Camelidae
Exons: 5
Source: RefSeq, a predicted model, not a curated record